This 253-nucleotide ribosomal RNA is filed under the name uncultured bacterium. RNAcentral describes it as "partial 16S ribosomal RNA". It matches the Rfam family "Bacterial small subunit ribosomal RNA", at positions 524 to 776 of the family's 1533-position model. The record is from RNAcentral.
UACAGAGGUCCCAAGCGUUGUUCGGAUUCACUGGGCGUAAAGGGUGCGUAGGCGGUCGGAUAAGUCUGAUGUGAAAUCUUCGAGCUCAACUCGGAAACUGCAUCGGAAACUAUCUGGCUUGAGGAUUGGAGGGGAGACUGGAAUUCUCGGUGUAGCAGUGAAAUGCGUAGAUAUCGAGAGGAACACCAGUGGCGAAGGCGAGUCUCUGGACAAUUCCUGACGCUGAGGCACGAAAGCUAGGGGAGCAAACAGG